CGAGUAAGCCGGGUGAUCGCUGCCCCGCCGGAGCGUCCCGAUUUAUCGGGGCUGGCAUUGGCGGGGGAGAGGAAAGUCCGAACUCCAUAGGACAGUGCGCUCGCUAACGGCGAGGGUUGGAGGGGGAUUCCCACGAUACGUCGGGGGACGUACGCCUCCGACACGGAAAGUGCCACAGAAAAUAUACCGUCCGUCAACUGACGGAUAAGGGUGAAAAGGUGCGGUAAGAGCGCACCGUCCCGGUGGUGACAUCGGGCGCACGGCAAACCCCGCACGGAGCAAGACCAAAUAGGAGAGGAGGGACGGUCCGUCCCGUAAUGUGUCUGUAGCGCCGCUCUGAAGGCAGGGACUAGGUUCUAGGGACUAGGUGCUAGGGACUAGGUGCUAGGGACUAGGUGCUAGGGACUAGGUGCUAGGGACUAGGUGCUAGGGAAAAAUCAAACCGUUGUGGGUUCCUUUUCCUAAUCCCCAAUCCCUAGUCCCUAGCCCCUAGCCCCUAGCACCUGCCUUCAGACCGGCGCUACAGGCGGCAGGCAACUCUCGGGUAGGUCGCUCGAUCCCGCGAGCAAUCGCGGGGCUAGAGGAAUGAUCGCCGCCCCGUCCUUCGCCGCAAGGCACGGGAUGGGGAGACAGAAUUCGGCUUACAGGCUUGCUCGCGCA
Molecule: RNase P RNA, 660 nt
Filed under: Acidobacteriota bacterium
Lineage: Bacteria; Pseudomonadati; Acidobacteriota
Description: Acidobacteria bacterium RNase P RNA component class A
Rfam family: Bacterial RNase P class A
About the family: Ribonuclease P (RNase P) is a ubiquitous endoribonuclease, found in archaea, bacteria and eukarya as well as chloroplasts and mitochondria. Its best characterised activity is the generation of mature 5'-ends of tRNAs by cleaving the 5'-leader elements of precursor-tRNAs. Cellular RNase Ps are ribonucleoproteins.
Source: RNAcentral